RNAcentral lists this transfer RNA (72 nucleotides) under Cyanophage S-RIM32. It matches the Rfam family "tRNA". From Rfam's summary of the family: Transfer RNA (tRNA) molecules are approximately 80 nucleotides in length. Their secondary structure includes four short double-helical elements and three loops (D, anti-codon, and T loops). The record is from Rfam by way of RNAcentral. Lineage: Duplodnaviria; Heunggongvirae; Uroviricota; Caudoviricetes; Pantevenvirales; Kyanoviridae.
GCGGGUGUAGUUCAGUGGUAGAACGCUAUCCUUCCAAGUUAGAUGUCGUCGGUUCGAAUCCGAUCUCCCGCU